GAACCGUACAAACGUUAUUCGGAAUCACUGGGCUUAAAGGGUGCGUAGGCGGCUCGGUAAGUUGGGUGUGAAAUCCCUCGGGCUCAACCGAGGGAAUUGCGCUCAAAACUGCCGGGCUCGAGGGAGACAGAGGUGAGCGGAACUUGCGGUGGAGCGGUGAAAUGCGUUGAGAUCGCAAGGAACACCAGUGGCGAAAGCGGCUCGCUGGGUCUCUUCUGACGCUGAGGCACGAAAGCUAGGGGAGCGAACGGGAUUGGAUACCCCGGUAGUCCUAGCUGUAAACGAUGAGCACUGGGUCGGAGGAUCCUCCAUAGUUUUCCGGCCGUAGCGAAAGUGUUAAGUGCUCCGCCUGGGGAGUAUGGUCGCAAAGGCUG
Molecule: ribosomal RNA, 374 nt
Filed under: uncultured organism
Description: partial 16S ribosomal RNA
Rfam family: Bacterial small subunit ribosomal RNA
Source: RNAcentral